AAGCGAAAGCAUUAAGUAUUCCACCUGGGGAGUACGCCGGCAACGGUGAAACUCAAAGGAAUUGACGGGGGCCCGCACAAGCGGAGGAACAUGUGGUUUAAUUCGAUGAUACGCGAGGAACCUUACCCGGGCUUAAAUUGCACCUGAAUAAUGUGGAAACAUGUUAGCCGUAAGGCAGGUGUGAAGGUGCUGCAUGGUUGUCGUCAGCUCGUGCCGUGAGGUGUCGGCUUAAGUGCCAUAACGAGCGCAACCCUUAUCUUCAGUUACUAACAGGUCAUGCUGAGGACUCUGGAGAGACUGCCGUCGUAAGAUGUGAGGAAGGUGGGGAUGACGUCAAAUCAGCACGGCCCUUACGUCCGGGGCUACACACGUGUUACAAUGGGGGGUACAGAAGGCCGCUACCUGGCGACAGGAUGCCAAUCCCCAAAACCUCUCUCAGUUCGGAUCGAAGUCUGCAACCCGACUUCGUGAAGCUGGAUUCGCUAGUAAUCGCGCAUCAGCCAUGGCGCGGUGAAUACGUUCCCGGGCCUUGUACACACCGCCUGUC
RNAcentral lists this ribosomal RNA (547 nucleotides) under uncultured bacterium. RNAcentral's name for it is "bacterial SSU rRNA". It matches the Rfam family "Bacterial small subunit ribosomal RNA", at positions 849 to 1398 of the family's 1533-position model. The record is from RNAcentral.